AGACCCCCAGCUCACAGCCACAUCUCUCCUGGCAGAAGUGGCCUGAUGUGGCCACCCCCGCCCCAGGCCUUGGUUCAUGGUCGGGAUCAACCGCAGGCUCUGCCGUGGGAUGUCCACACCCUCAGGACCCGCCGGGUGCCCUGUGCUGCCCACAGAGGAGAGACAAGGCCAACAAGCAUCACUGAGCACUUUCUCUGGACUCAGUCCUGUGCUAGGUACAGGGAUGCCAUUGUGCACAAGUCAGAAACAGCCGCGGCCCCAGCAGAGCCUGCAGUCUGGGUAGGGAGAUACUUGCUGAUCUAAGAAUCAGAGCAGUGGAUAUCUGACUGCAAAUUGAGACUGCCUGUGAAGGAUGAAUCAGGGAAGGCUUCCUGGAGGAGGUGGCCUCCCAGAGCUCAGCUUGUCCUUCCUUGAGGUCCUUUCCAUUCCCAGUCCCCCUCUGGUCACUCACUUGGCAGGUGCUGUACCUGCUCCCCUGCACGCUGCUGGGAUAACGGGAAAAUGAUGAAUGAGGCCCCAUCAUGCCCUGCUUCCCGGCCCUCAAGCCCAUUCCCAUCCAUGACAAAUUGUCCCUCUACCUCCACAGGGUCUUUUCAGCAGCCUCGCCUGGGAAGCCUUGGCAGCACUUGGUGGAGAUUUAUGCCCAUCUUCCCCAGAUUCUUCUUUGUUUUUCUGCUUCUUUAUUCCCUCAAAAUAUGCUUUUAUUU
This 707-nucleotide long non-coding RNA is filed under the name Homo sapiens (human). RNAcentral describes it as "non-protein coding lnc-RTL1-3:18". The record is from RNAcentral. Lineage: Eukaryota; Metazoa; Chordata; Mammalia; Primates; Hominidae.